RNAcentral lists this ribosomal RNA (1082 nucleotides) under Escherichia coli. Its description in RNAcentral is "bacterial SSU rRNA". It matches the Rfam family "Bacterial small subunit ribosomal RNA", at positions 108 to 1187 of the family's 1533-position model. Lineage: Bacteria; Pseudomonadati; Pseudomonadota; Gammaproteobacteria; Enterobacterales; Enterobacteriaceae. The record is from RNAcentral.
GAGUAAUGUCUGGGAAACUGCCUGAUGGAGGGGGAUAACUACUGGAAACGGUAGCUAAUACCGCAUAACGUCGCAAGACCAAAGAGGGGGACCUUCGGGCCUCUUGCCAUCGGAUGUGCCCAGAUGGGAUUAGCUAGUAGGUGGGGUAACGGCUCACCUAGGCGACGAUCCCUAGCUGGUCUGAGAGGAUGACCAGCCACACUGGAACUGAGACACGGUCCAGACUCCUACGGGAGGCAGCAGUGGGGAAUAUUGCACAAUGGGCGCAAGCCUGAUGCAGCCAUGCCGCGUGUAUGAAGAAGGCCUUCGGGUUGUAAAGUACUUUCAGCGGGGAGGAAGGGAGUAAAGUUAAUACCUUUGCUCAUUGACGUUACCCGCAGAAGAAGCACCGGCUAACUCCGUGCCAGCAGCCGCGGUAAUACGGAGGGUGCAAGCGUUAAUCGGAAUUACUGGGCGUAAAGCGCACGCAGGCGGUUUGUUAAGUCAGAUGUGAAAUCCCCGGGCUCAACCUGGGAACUGCAUCUGAUACUGGCAAGCUUGAGUCUCGUAGAGGGGGGUAGAAUUCCAGGUGUAGCGGUGAAAUGCGUAGAGAUCUGGAGGAAUACCGGUGGCGAAGGCGGCCCCCUGGACGAAGACUGACGCUCAGGUGCGAAAGCGUGGGGAGCAAACAGGAUUAGAUACCCUGGUAGUCCACGCCGUAAACGAUGUCGACUUGGAGGUUGUGCCCUUGAGGCGUGGCUUCCGGAGCUAACGCGUUAAGUCGACCGCCUGGGGAGUACGGCCGCAAGGUUAAAACUCAAAUGAAUUGACGGGGGCCCGCACAAGCGGUGGAGCAUGUGGUUUAAUUCGAUGCAACGCGAAGAACCUUACCUGGUCUUGACAUCCACGGAAGUUUUCAGAGAUGAGAAUGUGCCUUCGGGAACCGUGAGACAGGUGCUGCAUGGCUGUCGUCAGCUCGUGUUGUGAAAUGUUGGGUUAAGUCCCGCAACGAGCGCAACCCUUAUCCUUUGUUGCCAGCGGUCCGGCCGGGAACUCAAAGGAGACUGCCAGUGAUAAACUGGAGGAAGGUGGGGAUGACGUCA